UGGGGUUGUAGAUAUAGAAGA
RNAcentral lists this non-coding RNA (21 nucleotides) under Caenorhabditis elegans. The record is from RNAcentral. Lineage: Eukaryota; Metazoa; Nematoda; Chromadorea; Rhabditida; Rhabditidae.